Long non-coding RNA from Nematostella vectensis (starlet sea anemone), 4733 nucleotides. RefSeq lists it as uncharacterized. The record is from RefSeq and is a predicted model, not a curated record. The transcript is spliced from 2 exons. NCBI's taxonomy places the organism in Eukaryota, Metazoa, Cnidaria, Anthozoa, Actiniaria, Edwardsiidae.
UAUGCUGCCAAAUAGGGUAUGCUGGAUCUCCAUAUAGGAUGAAUAUUUUGGGAAUAUUUUGGAAACAGUCUUUUGAAGGAUGGUAACAGAUUACUUUUAGAAAGCAAGAAAGCAUCAUUAUCUCGACCAGCAGUAGGACCAUAGAGAUUUGAUUUUAUGGCAUUUGGGCAAACAACACUCUGAAACAAAUCAAGGGCUCUGUGAGCCAGCUCGUGAAUGCAGAUGUAUUUUGCUAGUUAUUUGUUUGUGUGCAUAAAAGAUAUAUAAGUUAUUCACCCGCUAGGUCUGUAUCGUGAAAUACCGUGACCUCGGCCUUAAAAAUACUGACCGAGAAUUUCCACCUUUGUUUACCUUACGGGCUUAAAGUUGCAAGGCGAGGUUUCGCUUCUGACUUUUGUCGAUGUUCGUGAAGAUUUUGUUCGCUCAUGAGCAUUCAAUAAACUCCAUUUUGUAUCUCCACACAACGCUUUUUAAAGCGUUUUUAAAGGAUUUAAAAAUCCUCCAGAAAUACAGAAUCUCCAAAAAGGACAUUCUCUGGGUUUUGACCAAUUUUUUUUAGUCCAAAUUGAUACGUCGUUCUCAACUCGAAUUGAUCGUAGAAAUGUCUUCUUUCGCUUUAAAUCCUCCACAGACGAUAAGAUGUAUUCACUAAAGAACUUCCCUUGAAUGUGGAUACGUUAAGCUGUUUAUGCAGGUAAAUUCCUGGAGUGAUUUGUUGUUUUUCUCCGUAUGAGGAGACGAUUUGCUGCCUUUUUUUAUCCCAAAUACACUUUCAGCAAACUUGAAAUUGUCGAGCGUGUUGCAAAAUCAUUAUGGCGGGAAAUUGUCAAAAUACAGGGAGUUUGAAGCCGCUUUUCCGUAAAGUCAAUGAUUGUAGAUAAAAUGACAAAUAAAAUGUCGUUUUAGUGUUUUAAAUCUAUAACCUCGGGAGUAAAAAUCCAGUUUUCGAUGGACAUUUUACAAAUCAACUCACUAUUUCGAGCUUUGGAGGUGAGCGAUCCGGUAUCGCGGGGUCCGGAUCGUAGGAUACCGGACCUUACGAGAGCCAAUCAGAGCGCGAGAUUUGAUGGAUUUCGGACCCCGAAAAAAAUAAAUACAGGAUACUGAAGAAGGUAUCAAAUUAAAGAACACAGUAAAGAUGCUGAGAGUUUAUAGAAAUGUCUUUUUUUUUUUUCUAUGUGAUAACACAGCAUAAGUACAGCAUUAUAUGAAUUACGUUUAAAGUUUCUGAAUGUACGAGGAUAAGGUCGAGUCUGACUGCACGAGCCCGGGUUCGAGUGCUCCCCCCUGAGCUCGCUGCAGUCGCACCCUAUCGCAUGUUUGUGUUAAACUUGCAGAGGAUUCAGAGGAGUUUUUCGCUAUUAUGUUUUCGCAUUGAGACAUCACCAGCCCACAAGUUCCUUUGACAUUCAUGCAACUAAUCAGAGAAGAGAUCCAACGAGAGAUGCCGGCCGGGGUCAUGGGGCCACCAUCAGACCAGACAGCAGAUUUAGCCAGUAAUAGCACCCGAACUGCUGUCAACGACCCCUACAGCAACCCCCGCUGCCGGUGUGUCUUAUUCCGCUGUGUCACAAGUAUCCCUCCCUCUAAAAAAAUGGUCACUCAAAUUGUCACCUGUAAAUAUAUUGACCUGUGGGACUUGCCGCCCGCCAACUGCUCCCCAACUACUGAAGCGGAGCCGCAGGUGAUGCUGGAUGGAUGGCUCAUCCUGAGCACUCCCGGAAGCCCAAACAAGCUAUCGAAGACAUCAUGUCCUGGAUGAAGGAGUCGUUCUCCAUCUACAUGGCCAUAACCACUCAAAGACCUCCACUAGUACCUCCUCCUUAUCAUCCGCACUUACCGCAGGUUUGCCGGGCAAGCCUGGCAGAACUAUGACAUUGCUUUCUGCCAGCAAGCGGCCGCUCUUCGUCGUGAAGACUGGUCGACAAUCGACACCCAGAUGUUUAACUUUCAUAUUGCUGGCUCUAUUCCUCUUCUCCCCUCCGCAGCCAAGGUUCCACCGCAGAGUUUACAGUAUAUCCCAGAACAGGUGACGCUGUGUCGCCGACCACUUAGCCUGCCUUUCACCCAUUUGUGUUCAAACAUCAGUGGGGAUCGAACUCCGGUCCCAGCGUACGUCAGCUAAUCAAUGACCGAAUCUUUUUUUUCAGCGUAUUCUUUAAGAAGACCAAAGUAAAAUACCCGCAAUUAUUAAUUGCGCAUAGUGAUUAUGUAUAGUGAAUAUCAUAGUGUCAUGCAAUAUGUUUUAUGUUUGUUAAUGCUCUAAAAAAAGAGCAAAGUUUUUAUUCGAUCAAUAAGCGGAUGUUGUGUGUUUCACAUAUAUAAGAAAGAAAUGCACGCUACCGCUAUCUGUGUACGUUCUCAACAUAAACAACAAGGCCAUCUUUUACCACUUUUUGAUGAUGAAGGUUUUCGCUGACAGCAGUGGAAUUAGUAAGGGUGUGUAUGACUCUACGCUUCCUGGCAUAGAUCUCCGGCGUGUCUCUGCUGAGCUUCCAGCGCAACUAUUAGAAGGCGAUUCUACAUAAUAGUCGGGGAGCAAAUUUCCAGAACUAGCCUAGAAAAUGGAAAACGUAGCACAUGUAGUACAUAAGCAAUCUGUUAUCAUAGAAUUAUUGCCACAUGUCUAAAGAACAAUUCUAGGCACGAUGUACUAAUCGAACGUUGGGACAUCAUACUGCUAGGGCCUGAAACGCGGCACCCAUAUGGUCCCCCUCUUUUCACUUGGCUAAACCCCUUAAAAACGAAUCCAAUGGUAGCGUGCCGUAGCACAAGGCAAUUUAGUGAAAACUUGGUCAAGGAUUAGUUGUUACUAAUCCCAUUGAAGAUAUGAUGAAUGUGGGAGUGCACGAGUUUCUCGGAAAGUCGCAUGUAUUGUUGUUAUUCAUUUGUUUUGUGUUUUUUUUGUAAGAUUUGAUCUAUAUUGGGUCUACCGAUGCCUUAAAUGGUGUUUUAAAUAUUUUCUUGUGAACCUGCAUUUGCAAGUAGCACAGCCUGCAAACUGAGGUGACGCAUAUUAUCUAUGUAACUAACAAACAUUAUCAUUAGAAAACUCUUUUUUAAUUGGAAUAAACAUUGGGGUAAACAUUGAAACUUUGAUCAGUAAUCUACUUAUGUCUAUAUAAACUAUGCUAUCUUAUGUACGUCUACAUCUAGGUGAUGUAAAAGAUGGAGAGCAUCCCGAAUAUACGGUGGCCCAUAGGGGACAGCACACAAAACAAAAUCGCACCGCAAACAAACAAAAGUCGCACUGCAAAUAAAACAAAAUAGCACUGCAAACAAAAUCGAACUGCAAACAAACAAAAGUCGCACUGCAAAUAAAACAAAAUCGCACCGCAAACAAACAAAAGUCGCACUGCAAAUAAAACAAAAUAGCACUGCAAACAAAAUCGAACUGCAAACAAACAAAAUCGCACCGCAAAUGAAACAAAAUCGCACUGCAAAUGAAACAAAAUCGUACCGCAAAUGAAACAAAAUCGCACUGCAAAUGAAACAAAAUCGUACCGCAAAUGAAACAAAACUUUUGUUUGUUUGCGGUGCGAUUUUGUUUUGUGUGCUGUCCUCUAUGGGCCACCGUACGAAUACAAUUGAUGUGAAUGUUGCAAAAAGCAAAAAGAUGUCCAAUAAAAGGUUGCCGAUGGUGGGGAGCCGUUCCCGGGCGUCACCUAUCAAAAGAUCAUGCAAUCAGCCGCAAAGAUGACCCAACAAAGUACAAAAGCCUCCUGAAGUCUUCCGAAAAGGUGUCAGAUGUCAUUGCACGAAUAAAGUCAAGAAAACGACCAAAAAGACAAAAAAGAGGAUCCGACUACAGCUAGAGAAAAUACCACUGAGGAAGAAGAAGUCCAAAAAGAAAAAGUAAAGGAGGAUGUCAACGUGCUUUCUGAAAGCGUGGAAGGUUUCUAUGACCAUGUCAAACGGCCUGAUGGGGGUAGGAAAGACGAAGCGGUUGCCAAAGCCCGCAAGCAGCAGAUUGUUGAUAUGUCUCGUUCUAUCGCAACUGAGGGUCCUAAAACCAUGUUAAACGUGUGGGGGGACACGGACAAUCUGUGGGACAGCUUUUUCGAACCAAUGACUACCAAGAGAAGAAUGUGGCUAAACGCAGUUAACCGAGAAGGGGUGGAGGGGCUUGCGGCAUCAACACUAUUGAGUUACUCCCUGACACUAGAACUGUACAUAGAUUGUUUUCCAACGAAUGGAGUCAGACUCACCAACGAAGAGUAAGAGAAGUUACGCGUUCUGCAAAACGUACAGUCUUCCUGGUGUAAAGCCCUUGCGAAGCACAAAACCGACCAGUAGCGUAGUUUUUACCAAAUUGAAACAUUAAAAAAAGUUAAGUCGACUUUGUUCCUCUACUGAAAGAAGAAGCUGGGAUAUGUUCUAACAAACGUUGUUUACUUUGCUUUCAUAUUUUUUUUUCUAUGCGUUGCCCAUGCAAAUGUUUCACGAGCGUUUGGUAUACUACAGCAGAAAAACCUGUCCUGUUUGUUUAUAUGGUUUCAAAGCUUCAUAAAAGCCUAAUUUUUAACUUAUCACUGGAACGGUUAUCGCAACAUUUUAGGAAAUGUGUUCGAUUGUUACUCGGCUAUGAAUUGUUCUCGAAAAAAAAAAAACGUUAUAAUAUGCAAACAGCUCAUUGCUAGGUGUGGUAGCCUUUUUUGUUACAAAAAGUUGCGGGUUAUAUUUAUCAUUAUUUGAUUAUUCUUUAUUCGUUUGUAAGGAUCAGAAGACAACUG